RNAcentral lists this ribosomal RNA (448 nucleotides) under uncultured bacterium. RNAcentral describes it as "bacterial SSU rRNA". It matches the Rfam family "Bacterial small subunit ribosomal RNA", at positions 330 to 798 of the family's 1533-position model. The record is from RNAcentral.
UCCAGACUCCUACGGGAGGCAGCAGUGGGGAAUAUUGCACAAUGGGGGAAACCCUGAUGCAGCGACGCCGCGUGAAGGAUGAAGUAUUUCGGUAUGUAAACUUCUAUCAGCAGGGAAGAAAAUGACGGUACCUGACUAAGAAGCCCCGGCUAACUACGUGCCAGCAGCCGCGGUAAUACGUAGGGGGCAAGCGUUAUCCGGAUUUACUGGGUGUAAAGGGAGCGUAGACGGCAUGGCAAGUCUGAUGUGAAAACCCGGGGCUCAACCCCGGGACUGCAUUGGAAACUGUCAGGCUAGAGUGUCGGAGAGGCAAGUGGAAUUCCAGGUGUAGGAGUGAAAUCCGUAGAUAUCUGGAGGAACAUCAGUGGCGAAGGCGACUAUCUGGCACAUAACUGACGCUGAGGAGCGAAAGCGUGGGUAGCAAACAGGAUUAGAUACCCGAGUACAU